RNAcentral lists this small nucleolar RNA (70 nucleotides) under Sciurus vulgaris (Eurasian red squirrel). RNAcentral describes it as "Small nucleolar RNA SNORD27 (ENSSVLG00005003831.1)". It matches the Rfam family "Small nucleolar RNA SNORD27". From Rfam's summary of the family: U27 is a member of the C/D class of snoRNA which contain the C (UGAUGA) and D (CUGA) box motifs. U27 is encoded within the U22 snoRNA host gene (UHG) in mammals and is thought to act as a 2'-O-ribose methylation guide for ribosomal RNA. This family also contains several related snoRNAs from yeast and plants. Lineage: Eukaryota; Metazoa; Chordata; Mammalia; Rodentia; Sciuridae. The record is from Rfam by way of RNAcentral.
UAUCCGUGAUGAAUGUAACAUGACAAGCACAUUACUGAAUUCUAAGUGAUGUCAUCUUACCAGUGAGGAA